RNAcentral lists this unclassified non-coding RNA (1204 nucleotides) under Hevea brasiliensis (rubber tree). The record is from RNAcentral. Lineage: Eukaryota; Viridiplantae; Streptophyta; Magnoliopsida; Malpighiales; Euphorbiaceae.
UUUACAAGUUUUGAAUAUUGAUGCGGAUUGGGUAUCUAACAGAGCUAAAUAGGCAAAUAGCUAACAUCAACUAGUUUGGGAUUUAGUUGUUGCUAUUGUUUUUGUUUGUCCCAUAUAAAAGCAUUCUUUGAACUUCAAAUGAGACAAGAACAAAGAUUUCUAAAGCUUUGAGAAUUUCUAUUUCAAAAUCUCAAUAUUUACACCUCUACCUUUUGUGCCACUAUUUAGUUUUGGCAUAUUGCAUUUUUCAAUUCUCUAGGUUUUGAAAAUCUAAAAUCACAGUGAAAGCACAACACUCUCACCCUUGAAGAUUAUCUCUAUAAAAGAAUUAAACUACCCCAAUGAGAAAAGCAUUCAAAAGAUUAGUUAAUCAAUUAGUGUCAAUCAUUUCUCCAAAAUAUUAAGGCUAUAUUUCAAACCUUUUACACAUUUAUACUACCAUAUGUAGGGCUAAGCACUUUUCUUUCUGAACCGAACUAAACUGAACCAAUUCGAUUCAACCAGUUCAGUUUUUUGGUAUAUGCGAUUUUGGUUUGUUUGAAAAUUUAGGUAACUUUAGCUUUUGGUUCAGUCUGGUUUUUUUCGAUAAAAAAAAGAUCAAAAAAACCGAACCAACUGAUUUAUCCCUCCACAUAAAGUACAAUCAUUUUACCCCAGGUAUAAAAACAAAAUAUCCUUACCUCAUUUUGUCUGCCUCACAGCCCUCUUCUUCUAUUCCCCCUUCCUCUCCUUCUUCAGUUCUUCUUCCCUCUCGAUCUAUUCCUCAUCUUCUUCGAUUUCUUCCCCUCUUUCUUCUUUAGUUCUUCUUUGAUCUCUUCCCCUCUUCUUCUAUUAAUCUAUUCCCCUUCCUCUCCCUCUUCUUUAGUUCCUCUCAAAUGGAACCUGCAAGUUUAAUGGGUCUGCCAUCAUUUGCCCAUGCUAGGUUUAUCUAGGAUCUACCAAUGAAUCUCUAUUUCCCCAUCUCUGUUGUGUCGACACAAUAUCACGAGCCAAUGUUGAGGUUCACUCUCUACCUCUUCUUCUUCAAUCUUGCAAUUGCUUUUUGUUUUUGAUUCCUUCUUCUUUGUCUUUCAUGCAGUCAUAGUCAUGAUUCUGGGAAUCGUGAUUGUAUUGCAUCCGAGUUUGUGAUUGAAUUUCAUAUGGGUUGUAUUGUGAUUAUAUUGCAUCUAGGUUAUAUUGUGAUUGUAUUGCAUCCAAGUUUGUG